AGGAUAAACGCUGGCGGCGUGCCUAACACAUACAAGUCGAACGUCUCUUCUUUCGGGAAGAGGAGUGGCGGACGGGUGAGGAACACGUGGGAACCUGCCCUUUAGUGAGGAAUACCGGCGAGAAAUCGCCGACAAGACCGCAUAGCCCUCUUUGAUGAGAGUCAAAGAAGGAAAGCUUCGCAAGAGGCGCUAGAGGAGGGGCCUGCGUCCGAUUAGCUAGUUGGUGGGGUAAGAGCCUACCAAGGCGUCGAUCGGUAGCUGGUCUGAGAGGACGAUCAGCCACACUGGGAUUGAGGACGGCCCAGACUCCUACGGGGGGCAGCAGUGAGGAAUUUUCGGCAAUGGGGGAAACCCUGACCGAGCAACGCCGCGUGCAGGAAGACGGCCUUCGGGUUGUAAACUGCUUUCUUUGGGAGAGAACGGACGGUACCAGAGGAAUCAGCCCGGCUCACUACGUGCCAGCAGCCGC
RNAcentral lists this ribosomal RNA (469 nucleotides) under uncultured bacterium. RNAcentral's name for it is "SSU rRNA". It matches the Rfam family "Bacterial small subunit ribosomal RNA", at positions 26 to 518 of the family's 1533-position model. The record is from RNAcentral.